RNAcentral lists this ribosomal RNA (346 nucleotides) under uncultured Burkholderia sp. Its description in RNAcentral is "bacterial SSU rRNA". It matches the Rfam family "Bacterial small subunit ribosomal RNA", at positions 199 to 524 of the family's 1533-position model. Lineage: Bacteria; Pseudomonadati; Pseudomonadota; Betaproteobacteria; Burkholderiales; Burkholderiaceae. The record is from RNAcentral.
GAUGAAAGCGGGGGAGCCUUCGGGGCCUCGCGCUAUAGGGUUGGCCGAUGGCUGAUUAGCUAGUUGGUGGGGUAAAGGCCUACCAAGGCGACGAUCAGUAGCUGGUCUGAGAGGACGACCAGCCACACUGGGACUGAGACACGGCCCAGACUCCUACGGGAGGCAGCAGUGGGGAAUUUUGGGCAAUGGGCGAAAGCCUGAUCCAGCAAUGCCGCGUGUAUGAGGAAGGCCUUCGGGUUGUAAAGCACUUUUGUCCGGAAAGAAAUCCUCUUGGCUAAUACCCCGGGGGGAUGACGGUACCGGAGGAAUAAGCACCGGCUAACUACGUGCCAGCAGCCGCGGUAAU